GUGCCUACGGGGGGCAGCAGUGGGGAAUAUUGCACAAUGGGGGAAACCCUGAUGCAGCGACGCCGCGUGAGUGAAGAAGCGUUUCGGCGCGUAAAGCUCUGUCAGCGGGGAAGAAACACGGUUCGCGAGAGCCGCGGACGGUACCCGACCAAGAAGCCCCGGCUAACUACGUGCCAGCAGCCGCGGUAAUACGUAGGGGGCAAGCGUUAUCCGGAUUUACUGGGUGUAAAGGGAGCGUAGACGGAGGAGCAAGUCUGAUGUGAAAAUCCGGGGCCCAACCCCGGAACUGCAUUGGAAACUGUUUA
Molecule: ribosomal RNA, 305 nt
Filed under: uncultured bacterium
Lineage: Bacteria
Description: bacterial SSU rRNA
Rfam family: Bacterial small subunit ribosomal RNA
Source: RNAcentral